This 249-nucleotide ribosomal RNA is filed under the name uncultured bacterium. RNAcentral's name for it is "partial 16S ribosomal RNA". It matches the Rfam family "Bacterial small subunit ribosomal RNA", at positions 796 to 1041 of the family's 1533-position model. The record is from RNAcentral.
CAUGCCGUAAACGAUGAGUGCUAAGUGUUAGGGGGUUUCCGCCCCUUAGUGCUGCAGCUAACGCAUUAAGCACUCCGCCUGGGGAGUACGACCGCAAGGUUGAAACUCAAAGGAAUUGACGGGGGCCCGCACAAGCGGUGGAGCAUGUGGUUUAAUUCGAAGCAACGCGAAGAACCGUACCAGGUCUUGACAUCCCAGUGACCGCUCUAGAGAUAGAGUUUUCCCUUCGGGGACAGUGGUGACAGGUGG